UACUCUCAUUUCAAAGAGUUGCAUGCAAAGUCCACUGAUCCUUUGAAAGAUUUUAAAGCAGAUCUAGAAUUGGAGGUUCAAAAAGGGUCCAUUUUACAUUAUCUUCCUAAGUAUAGUCUUCAUGAUUAUCCUCUGGCACUAGAUUUUAUCGAGCGGUGCCUGAAACUUAAUCCAAAUGAGCGUCCAACUGCUGAUACGCUUUUGGAGCAUGAGUUUGUGAGGGAUAAGUUUGUGAAGGAUUCUGGCUGUUAGUAUUUUUCAGAUUCCAAUCAACUCCCCUAAAAUUUCUUCUUCAGCUUGAAUUGUGUGAACAAACGUCUAGUGUUUUUUUAUGAGCAUUUCUUCAUGUUGCUU
Molecule: unclassified non-coding RNA, 354 nt
Filed under: Hevea brasiliensis (rubber tree)
Lineage: Eukaryota; Viridiplantae; Streptophyta; Magnoliopsida; Malpighiales; Euphorbiaceae
Source: RNAcentral